Molecule: ribosomal RNA, 255 nt
Filed under: uncultured bacterium
Lineage: Bacteria
Description: partial 16S ribosomal RNA
Rfam family: Bacterial small subunit ribosomal RNA
Source: RNAcentral
UACGAAGGGGGCUAGCGUUGUUCGGAAUCACUGGGCGUAAAGCGCACGUAGGCGGAUCUUUAAGUCAGGGGUGAAAUCCCGAGGCUCAACCUCGGAACUGCCUUUGAUACUGGCGAUCUUGAGGCCGGGAGAGGCGAGUGGAAUUCCCAGUGUAGCGGUGAAAUGCGUAGAUAUUGGGAAGGAACACCAGUGGCGAAGGCGACUCGCUGGACCGGUUCUGACGCUGAGGCGCGAAAGCGUGGGGAGCAAACAGGG